UCGUAACAAGGUUUCCGUAGGUGAACCUGCGGAAGGAUCAUUACCGAGAGCACCUCUUCGCGGCAGCAAUGCUUCGUCGAGAGGCUAUUCUCACACCCCAUUUUAUACGUACCUCUUGUUCUUCCUCGGCAGGGUAACCUGCCGAUGGAACCUCAUCACACCCUUUUGCAUCUAGCAUUACCCGUUCUGAUAACCUAAAUCGUUACAACUUUUAACAAUGGAUCUCUUGGCUCUGGCAUCGAUGAAGAACGCAGCGAAAUGCGAUAAGUAGUGUGAAUUGCAGAAUUCAGUGAAUCAUCGAAUCUUUGAACGCACAUUGCGCCCCUUGGUAUUCCGAGGGGCAUGCCUGUUCGAGCGUCAUCUACACCCUCAAGCACUGCUUGGUGAUGGGCGUCUGUCCCGCCUCUGCGCGUGGACUCGCCCCAAAGGCAUUGGCAGCGGUCCUGACCGCCUCUCGCGCAGCACAUUUGCGCGUCUCGAGCGACGGGUCCGCAUCCACGAAGCUCUUUACCCAUUUUGACCUCGGAUCAGGUAGGGAUACCCGCUGAACUUAAGCAUAUCAAUAAGCGGAGGAAAAGAAACCAACAGGGAUUGCCCUAGUAACGGCGAGUGAAGCGGCAACAGCUCAAAUUUGAAAUCUGGCCCUCUUUGGGGGUCCGAGUUGUAAUUUGCAGAGGGUGCUUUGGCAUUGGCGGCGGUCUAAGUUCCUUGGAACAGGACAUCGCAGAGGGUGAGAAUCCCGUACGUGGGCGCCUGCCUUUGCCGUGUAAAGCCCCUUCGACGAGUCGAGUUGUUUGGGAAUGCAGCUCUAAAUGGGAGGUAAAUUUCUUCUAAAGCUAAAUACUGGCCAGAGACCGAUAGCGCACAAGUAGAGUGAUCGAAAGAUGAAAAGUACUUUGGAAAGAGAGUCAAACAGCACGUGAAAUUGUUAAUAGGGAAGCGCUUGCAGCCAGACUUGCCCGUAGUUGCUCACCCAGGCUCAUGCCCGGGGCACUCUUCUGCGGGCAGGCCAGCAUCAGUUUGGGCGGUUGGAUAAAGGCCUCUGUCACGUAUCUCCCUUCGGGGUGACCUUAUAGGGGAGGCGCAAUGCAACCAGCCCGGACUGAGGUCCGCGCUUCGGCUAGGAUGCUGGCGUAAUGGCUGUAAGCGGCC
Molecule: ribosomal RNA, 1152 nt
Filed under: uncultured fungus
Lineage: Eukaryota; Fungi
Description: eukaryotic LSU rRNA
Rfam family: Eukaryotic large subunit ribosomal RNA (bases 518-1152)
Source: RNAcentral